AUUGAACGCUGGCGGCAUGCUUUACACAUGCAAGUCGAGCGGCAGCGCGGGCUUCGGCCUGGCGGCGAGUGGCGAACGGGUGAGUAAUGCAUCGGAACGUGCCCAGUAGUGGGGGAUAGCCCGGCGAAAGCCGGAUUAAUACCGCAUACGACCUGAGGGUGAAAGCGGGGGACCGAAAGGCCUCGCGCUAUUGGAGCGGCCGAUGUCGGAUUAGCUAGUUGGUGGGGUAAAGGCUUACCAAGGCGACGAUCCGUAGCUGGUCUGAGAGGACGACCAGCCACAUUGGGACUGAGACACGGCCCAGACUCCUACGGGAGGCAGCAGUGGGGAAUUUUGGACAAUGGGGGCAACCCUGAUCCAGCCAUGCCGCGUGCGGGAAGAAGGCCUUCGGGUUGUAAACCGCUUUUGUUCGGGAAGAAAUCCUCUGGGCUAAUACCCCGGGGGGAUGACGGUACCGGAAGAAUAAGCACCGGCUAACUACGU
This 483-nucleotide ribosomal RNA is filed under the name uncultured bacterium. Its description in RNAcentral is "partial 16S ribosomal RNA". It matches the Rfam family "Bacterial small subunit ribosomal RNA", at positions 28 to 506 of the family's 1533-position model. The record is from RNAcentral.